UAAACUAGGAUUAGAUACCCUAUUAUAUUUAGAAAAUUAUAAGGUAGUACUUUCAAAAAAACCUAUACAUUAUGGCGGCAUNCUAUCUNUAUUAGAGGAGUAUGUUAUAUAAUCGACAACACGCGAUAANUUUUCACUUAUUAUUAUAUCUUAUAUACCGCCGUUAAAAGAAUAAAUUUAAAAAUCUCUAUUCAAAAAAAUUUUAUAACAAAUUAGGUAAAGGUGUAGACCACAAAAUAAGAACUAAUGUUCUACACUAAAAAAAUUUACAAAAUUUUUAAAAACUCAUUAAAGAAUUUAAAAGUAAUAAUUAAAUAAUAUUUUACUAUGAAUAAGAAAAUAAAUGUGCACACAUCGC
This 358-nucleotide ribosomal RNA is filed under the name Chrysometa poas. Its description in RNAcentral is "partial 12S ribosomal RNA". Lineage: Eukaryota; Metazoa; Arthropoda; Arachnida; Araneae; Tetragnathidae. The record is from RNAcentral.